GAGGGGCUCGCGGCCUAUCAGCUAGUUGGUGAGGUCACGGCUCACCAAGGCUAUGACGGGUAGCUGGUCUGAGAGGACGACCAGCCACACGGGGACUGAGACACGGCCCCGACUCCUACGGGAGGCAGCAGUGGGGAGUUUUCCGCAAUGGGCGAAAGCCUGACGGAGUGACGCCGCGUGGGGGACGAAGGCCUUCGGGUCGUAAACCCCUGUCAGAGGGAAAGAAGGGUCGCCUGGUUAAUACCCAGGUGAUCUGACGGUACCUUCAGAGGAAGCCCCGGCCAACUCUGUGCCAGCAGCCGCGGUAAGACAGAGGGGGCAAGCGUUGCUCGGAAUCACUGGGCGUAAAGGGCGCGUAGGCGGGAUGGCAAGUCGGUCGUGAAAUCCCUCGGCUCAACCGAGGAGCGUCGGCCGAUACUGCCGUUCUUGAGGGAUGCAGAGGAGACUGGAAUUCCCGGUGUAGCGGUGAAAUGUGUAGAGAUCGGGAGG
This 489-nucleotide ribosomal RNA is filed under the name uncultured Thermodesulfobacteriota bacterium. Its description in RNAcentral is "bacterial SSU rRNA". It matches the Rfam family "Bacterial small subunit ribosomal RNA", at positions 224 to 704 of the family's 1533-position model. The record is from RNAcentral. Lineage: Bacteria; Pseudomonadati; Thermodesulfobacteriota.